RNAcentral lists this ribosomal RNA (544 nucleotides) under Bacillus altitudinis. RNAcentral describes it as "bacterial SSU rRNA". It matches the Rfam family "Bacterial small subunit ribosomal RNA", at positions 466 to 1008 of the family's 1533-position model. Lineage: Bacteria; Bacillati; Bacillota; Bacilli; Caryophanales; Bacillaceae. The record is from RNAcentral.
ACCUUGACGGUACCUAACCAGAAAGCCACGGCUAACUACGUGCCAGCAGCCGCGGUAAUACGUAGGUGGCAAGCGUUGUCCGGAAUUAUUGGGCGUAAAGGGCUCGCAGGCGGUUUCUUAAGUCUGAUGUGAAAGCCCCCGGCUCAACCGGGGAGGGUCAUUGGAAACUGGGAAACUUGAGUGCAGAAGAGGAGAGUGGAAUUCCACGUGUAGCGGUGAAAUGCGUAGAGAUGUGGAGGAACACCAGUGGCGAAGGCGACUCUCUGGUCUGUAACUGACGCUGAGGAGCGAAAGCGUGGGGAGCGAACAGGAUUAGAUACCCUGGUAGUCCACGCCGUAAACGAUGAGUGCUAAGUGUUAGGGGGUUUCCGCCCCUUAGUGCUGCAGCUAACGCAUUAAGCACUCCGCCUGGGGAGUACGGUCGCAAGACUGAAACUCAAAGGAAUUGACGGGGGCCCGCACAAGCGGUGGAGCAUGUGGUUUAAUUCGAAGCAACGCGAAGAACCUUACCAGGUCUUGACAUCCUCUGACAACCCUAGAGAUA